UACGUAGGGGGCAAGCGUUUGUCCGGAUUUAUUGGGCGUAAAGCGCGUGUAGGCGGCUUUUGCAAGUCGGGGUGUGAAAGCCCCUCAGCUCAACUGAGGAAGUGCGCCCGAAACUGCAGAGCUUGAGUACCGGAGAGGAUGGCGGAAUUCCCCAAGUAGAGGUGAAAUUCGUAGAUAUGGGGAGGAACACCGGUGGCGAAGGCGGCCAUCUGGACGGAUACUGACGCUGAGACGCGAAAAGCGUGGGUAGCAAACAGG
RNAcentral lists this ribosomal RNA (258 nucleotides) under uncultured bacterium. RNAcentral's name for it is "partial 16S ribosomal RNA". It matches the Rfam family "Bacterial small subunit ribosomal RNA", at positions 524 to 776 of the family's 1533-position model. The record is from RNAcentral.